This 952-nucleotide long non-coding RNA is filed under the name Rattus norvegicus (Norway rat). RNAcentral's name for it is "long non-coding RNA NONRATT002122". The record is from RNAcentral. Lineage: Eukaryota; Metazoa; Chordata; Mammalia; Rodentia; Muridae.
CACAGCCCCGCCCCUCUCUGCCUGUGGUCACUGUCUGCUUGCGCACUGACAAGCUUCCUGUCUGGUCUCCCAGCCUCAUCGUUACUUCCCCUUCAUUUUCCCCCACAUGGCAGCCAGAGAUACUUUUAAAAUGUCAGUCAGAUGGAUCAUGCCCUUCAUUUAAAAACCGUCCAUGGCUUCUGUUAAAAGGGCUACUGAUGGAGCCUCACUACCUCUCUGACCACACCCAGACUCACCACAGUCCGCCGCCCCAGCCGCCGCCGCUCCUCAGUGCUGCCCGAUUAUUGGGUGAUACUGCAGCGCCGGGCUUCUUAGCUUUUCCACCAGAGAAAAGUUUGCGUGGCCUGGGUACACGGGAACAUAAAAUGGUUACAUAAAUCAAACUUGCACUCUAGUACGUCCUUUUCUUUUUUUAGUGGUUAGUCUGAGUGGUUUUUUCACAUUAAAUCAACAAUUUAUGAAUAUGAUGCAAAAAAAAAAUUGAUUUGGAGAAUUUACCAGAGGAGCGGGCCAGUUUGGUUUUUCAGUGUUUAAUUCUGUAACGGGGGUGGGGUGUGUUCUAAGUGCUUUCUGAGGAGAUUCUCUCCCUAUACCUGUAUUCUACUUAGAAGGCCUGACUCGGACAGAGGAAAAUACUUUUGGGCUCUACUAUUUGUAAAGGCCCUCACUUGAGGAUCACUUUAGUCAGUGAACAACACAAUGAGAUUUUUAACUUAAUUUAAAAAAAAUUACAGUUUUCAUGUUAUGGAUUUCAAACCACAAAUAAAACUUCUGAUUGUUUUCUUCAGAGUGCCCUCCAUGCGGGACCUGCAGCCACUCCAGGUCAGCCUCCACGCUGGCCCUGCCCCCUUAGCAGCCCUGUGUCCCUCAUUGAGGAUGUCCUCUGCUGGCCUUGUCACGAUUUCUCACAUUUUAAAUAGUUUUGAAGGAUUAAAACAUUCUCUCCGCUACC